AGCUGUGGAACUGGUAGACGACCUUCCGGCAAGUCUUUGACUUGUCUCGAGGUAUGAACCUUCCCGUGCUUUUUAGAACAUAGAUGGCACCAGUCAGGUGACCAUCGAAACGUAAUACGCCGCGAUGACUUCGGUCACGACGGUAUGGCGAGCUUUCGCCGUCCACGUUUCUCUUUCUUCAAAAGGAUAUCGAACCAUGGGUUUGCGCUCGCGCGCUGUUCGCACCUUCGGUGCUGCGCUCCGCGAGGGCGCCGGACGACCGGCGACGGCCUCUGGCCUGUAUGGGCGGCUCUUUCUGAGGUUUUGCUCAGGUUAGGCGUCAACGCAGAGAGAUGGGCCCGUAGCUCAGUUGGUUAGAGCACACGCUUGAUAAGCGUGGGGUCGGAAGUUCAAGUCUUCCCGGGACCACCAUUUGCACCGGCAAAUGAGGUUUGCUGUAGCGAAUUGUGGUUUGUUUGGGUUUACCUGAUCCUGGCGGUUUGCUGUCAGGUGUUUGCGAUGGUUGGGGCUGUAGCUCAGCUGGGAGAGCACCUGCUUUGCAAGCAGGGGGUCAGCGGUUCGAUCCCGCUCAGCUCCACCAAUUCGCUUGGUGUCGAGACUGAGAGAUAUCCUUUGAAGAAAUAAAAGUUUUGCACCGGCUUAUGGCUGGUGCGUGUUUCUGCAUACAUUGUGAAGAGAAGAUUGAUCUGGAGGCUUCCAGGUGUUGUGGGUUUUGCCCAUGAUGUCCGAGCCCAGUUCCUGUGAAACCAUGGAUGGCCUAGCCGGCCGGAUGUGGUGGAGGGAUUGGAGGUAGGUAGGAAGCUUGUCGCUCUGGAUCGUCAGCGUAAACCGCGUAGCGGUUUAUCGCGUGUUGUUCGUUGCCUUUGGGCAUCGUCUGACGGACGAUCGGAUUACCGUUGCCUGACCGCGCGGUAUCGGAUCCAAUCUCGAGAAGCUGGUCUUAAGACAGGCUGCAAGCGAGCUGCUCGGCGUAGCUCCAAUAAAGCAGACCUGUCGAACACGUUAAUGGCAUUGUUGGAUUGACUGGGUUGUAAAAGGUAACCCGGUCUGUUGCCGUUUCUUAUGGAGCGAGCAACGAGAUGAUGAGCAUUGGCAAUGAGAACGAUUAAGUGUCGUAAGGGCAUUUGGUGGAUGCCUUGGCAUGCACAGGCGAUGAAGGACGUGAUACGCUGCGAAAAGCCGUGGGGAUGCUGCGAAUGAGC
Molecule: unclassified non-coding RNA, 1202 nt
Filed under: Rhizobium leguminosarum bv. viciae
Lineage: Bacteria; Pseudomonadati; Pseudomonadota; Alphaproteobacteria; Hyphomicrobiales; Rhizobiaceae
Description: partial contains 16S ribosomal RNA, 16S-23S ribosomal RNA intergenic spacer, and 23S ribosomal RNA
Rfam family: tRNA (bases 505-577)
Source: RNAcentral